GAACGCUGGCGGCAGGCUUAACACAUGCAAGUCGAGCGCACUCUUCGGAGUGAGCGGCAGACGGGUGAGUAACGCGUGGGAAUCUACCCAUCUCUACGGAACAACAGUUGGAAACGACUGCUAAUNCCGUAUACGCCCCCAGGUUUUGGUGAUCUGGGGGGAAAGAUUUAUCGGAGAUGGAUGAGCCCGCGUUGGAUUAGCUAGUUGGUGGGGUAAAGGCCUACCAAGGCGACGAUCCAUAGCUGGUCUGAGAGGAUGAUCAGCCACACUGGGACUGAGACACGGCCCAGACUCCUACGGGAGGCAGCAGUGGGGAAUAUUGGACAAUGGGCGCAAGCCUGAUCCAGCCAUGCCGCGUGAGUGAAGAAGGCCCUAGGGUUGUAAAGUCUCUUUCAUCCGGUGAAG
Molecule: ribosomal RNA, 405 nt
Filed under: uncultured Hyphomicrobiales bacterium
Lineage: Bacteria; Pseudomonadati; Pseudomonadota; Alphaproteobacteria; Hyphomicrobiales
Description: bacterial SSU rRNA
Rfam family: Bacterial small subunit ribosomal RNA
Source: RNAcentral